This 468-nucleotide ribosomal RNA is filed under the name uncultured bacterium. RNAcentral describes it as "partial 16S ribosomal RNA". It matches the Rfam family "Bacterial small subunit ribosomal RNA", at positions 28 to 507 of the family's 1533-position model. The record is from RNAcentral.
GACGAACGCUGGCGGCGUGCUUAACACAUGCAAGUCGAACGGAAAGGCCCUGCUUUUGUGGGGUGCUCGAGUGGCGAACGGGUGAGUAACACGUGAGUAACCUGCCCUUGACUUUGGGAUAACUUCAGGAAACUGGGGCUAAUACCGGAUAGGAGCUCCUGCUGCAUGGGGGGGGAUGGAAAGAUUCGGCUGUUGGGGAUGGACUCGCUGCUUAUGAGCUUGUUGGUGGGGUAGUGGCUGACCAAGUCUUUGACGGGUAGCCGGCCUGAGAGGGUGACCGGCCACAUUGGGACUGAGAUACGGCCCAGACUGCUACGGGAGGCAGCAGUGGGGAAUAUUGCACAAUGGGCGGAAGCCUGAUGCAGCAACGCCGCGUGCGGGAUGACGGCCUUCGGGUUGUAAACCGCUUUCGCCUGUGACGAAGCGUGAGUGACGGUAAUGGGUAAAGAAGCACCGGCUAACUACGUG